RNAcentral lists this long non-coding RNA (2648 nucleotides) under Mus musculus (house mouse). Its description in RNAcentral is "long non-coding RNA chr2:158496437-158499085". The record is from RNAcentral. Lineage: Eukaryota; Metazoa; Chordata; Mammalia; Rodentia; Muridae.
AUAGCAGGGGCUUCAUCCAUAUUGAUUGCAGGACCAAGUUGCAAGCUGCAGUAGUUGAGGAAAGGUUCUAAUUUGUGGCUCAGGAAGUAGUGUCCCACUCACUUAGCUCCUUAGAGGGCACCCAGCCCACAAUCCACAGAACUCAGUGCCACCUCCUUAGGUGGCUGCUGCUGUUUGGUUUCUAGCCUUAGCCAGCUGAAGGCAGAAGUCUCUGCCAUCUCACUGCUGCUUUUCUGCCAGGGACAAAGCUUUGGAAGUGGCCAGAACCAAAUUGUUUUAGAAGGACUCCUGUUACAGCACUCAGUAUAUACCUGUUUUUAUGUUCUCCUUCAAUAAGAUCUUUUUGUCUUAGAAAACAAGUGACAUUUAUAGUCCAAAGAGAAAUAAUCACACUUGAAUGGUGGUGUUCCCACUGGCCCUCUGUUGUCAUUAAAGUGUAGACCAGGACUCCAGUGAUUGGUUUGAGGUUUCUUUUCUUUGGAUGUCAGGGGCAAUGUUGGGCCAGCUCUCCUGUGCAGAUGCCUCCAUUCUAGACAUGUGCUCUGCCAUCUGGAAGCACAAAGCAUGGCUGUAGCAGUCUUUGGUCUGAAGUUUGCCACCACCCCUUUUAUUUUUUUUCCCUCAGCUCAGGUACAGACAGCCAUCCCCACUCCCACCCCCAUCUUCCUUGUCCUCUUCUUCCCCUAUGAGUUUCCAUUCGAGGCAAAGAGCUUUCUGUCUUUGAUUCCCUCUGAAGUCAGGCAAUAAUCUAAUGUUCCCAGGUGAUUCCCUGAGAUGGGGAAUGGUGAAAAUUAGUGAAUUUUUCCCUAAAAAUAUUCUUGUAACUCAGCAAGAAUAGGUGAAAUUGAACAACAGCUAAGAUACUUCCAGAUUUGACCCUUCAUGGGCAAAGUGGGUUCUUGUUCUAUCCAAGGUGAACAAAGAAUUUAUACACAUACAUGCAACUUCUAACAUUCCAGAGGGUACAAAUAUCUGAUAAAGGUGGACUUUCUUUGUGUGAUUCUUCUCAAAACCUUGUUUGGAUGUUUUUUAAAUGAUACUGGAAAAAUAACGUAUGGGUUAUAUGUGUAGGAGUGGGCUUACUGGCCUUCCCCCUUCAUUUGGCUCUAAUUUCUGGUAACUCUUUAUAAUUCUGAUUAUUUUGGUAAGCGAACCACCAUGGCAGAUGCAGUUUGAAAUCUGGGGCAUGCAGUGGUUCCCCAAGGGAAGAGGGCUGCCCCCUGCCCCCUGAAGGAGAGAAGCAUCGGUGUGCACAGCCAGCAGAGCUUGGGAUGCACCGCCACUGCUUGCUUCUGCUCCACACACCAUCUCCCCAGCAAAAGGCUGGCAAGAAGAGCUUGGGCCUUCGCAGAGGCGUUUGGAAUCCUGCUCACUGAGCUCACCCUCCUGCCUGCACUGAGGUCACUUUGAACAGAAUCAUGGCAGAGGAACAUCCUUAGAGCCUAACAGUAAUCUCAGUAGUUCACUUGAUAAAUUUGCCACCACAGGUUCAGAAACUUUGGGGGGAAACUGGGACCAGUCUGGACUGUGGCUUAAGCUAUUCAGUUGCUGUAGCUGAAUACCCAGGCACCUUCAAACAGGAAAACAUUUCCCAAGGGUAUUUAGGCUGGUGGCCCAUUCUGUUCACUUUUGAAGCUGGGGGUGAGGGUGGGGGUGGGGCUUCUACUUUGGCCGGAACAUGGAAAACGGGGCUCUUAACACCACCUUCCCCUUUUGUCUAGGGUUUCUUCCUUAGGCCUUCCUGGCCUUUGGCCCCUUGAAAAGAAUAAUUACAUGGUAGGGCAGCCCUCUCCAGCCAUACUGAUGCAUGUGCCAUGUGUACACAAGCAUCUCCCCCUUCCAGCACCUCGAUUUUAGGGUAGCUCCAUCUCUGGACUCACAUACAAAAAUACGCACAGUUUGGCGGGCCCUCUCAGUGUCUAACCCAUGGGUAGUAGGGCAAUCUGGAAGGCCCGCUUCCACAUUUAUGAGCUAGGGAAGAACCAGGUUUGGCUGGCUGCCAUUACAGACAGUGAUGAGGUUUCCAGGGUGUUUAUUCCUAUUAAAAAGUGGAACUUCCCUCACAUACUCAGCCUUGGGUACAGCUGGAUAAAGCUGGUAGGGACUGCCUUGGAUAUUAUGUGGCACUUUCCUGGAAGCAGUCGUCCUUUAGCAUUUAAAGCCUGUUCAGGCCAGAUCUUCUGUGCCGCCAGCGACCAUCAGCUUCCACCCACCCAUCUGUUCUAGCACUUCCUGACAGCCCCUCUUCCUGAGGGGUCCACUUGGACAGGGAGCCACUGAUCACACUGCUGGCCGGGCCAUGCACUGCAUAGGGUUUGCUCCCAGUAGCCACCCUUGUUCUUCACACAGGCUUUUUUAAUGGUGAGGGAGAAGGUAUAAUUUGGGAUUCCACAGUGCCUUGCAUACAGUAGGCGCCCAAUACCCAUUUGUUGAAGCAAAUCAAGUUCCUUGUUCCCACAGUAACCAAGGCAUCUUCCUCCUCUGAAGGGCUUGGCGGUUGUGGCUAAAAACUAAGCAUCAUUAUUUGCUCGAAACCAUAUUUACAAUUUGUAUGAAUUUCGGUAUAUUGCCAAGAUGGGAUCUUUUUCCUAUUGUAUUUUCUGUAAAUAUUUCUGCCACUGACUUGUAAAGUAAAGGAGAUGUAAAUA